This 1467-nucleotide long non-coding RNA is filed under the name Homo sapiens (human). RNAcentral describes it as "HSALNT0344466". The record is from RNAcentral. Lineage: Eukaryota; Metazoa; Chordata; Mammalia; Primates; Hominidae.
UAAGGAGGCGCUGUCCUGGCGUCGGAUGGGGACGGGGAACGCGGCGAGGGCGCUGCGACCUCUGCCCACCUGGCCCGGCCGCAGUCUCGGAGUUCCUGUUCCUCACAGGAGCUAAUUAUUUAUGACAGCUGCAUGGUUCCCCUCCCCCAGUUACUCAGUGCUUGGCACUCGGCACCCCUUACUCAGCACUCAGUACCGCACUCGGCCUCAGGGGACCUGGGCAGAGGGAAGCAGGGAGUCUCCCGCGGAAACUCUUGCUCUGCCAAAGGCCUGGACAGCAAAUGAGGAAGACUUAUUGCAGAAAUUCAGAGCCUAGUGACCUGGACCAGGGUGGAGGCAGCAGAGGAGAGAAACAGAUGAUCAAGACUCUGCUAGCAGGAGAAAAAGAGAGAAAAGAGAGAUGAAAAAGUCUUGUGUGACCAGAAGCUUAUCAACCUUGUGUGCUGUUGGCUUACUUUAACAUUUACAGCAGAUGAUAGAAUUGUGUUCAGAUGACACAAUAAGGUAUCAAAUGACUUCACGAAAGCAAGACGGCACUGAACCCCAAGUUUGUGCCUUCAGUCUCUCGCCUCGGCACCUAGGUAAUCCUUUGCCCACAGGACCACACCACCCUCCCCCAGUGAGAGGAACCAGAGUGACGGGAAAGGGAAGCCCCACACAACCAGCACUCGAGGCCCGGCCCACUGGGAGCACUGGGUGGCCUGGCCUGGGAAAGCCCCUUGUGCCCCUUGGGUGGCACCAGCAGGUACCCGUGGGAGCUCCAGCAGCACCAGACAAACCAAGCAGACCCAAGAUAGCACCAUGAAGGCUCUGAACAUCAAAUUGUCACUGGAAGCAUGGCCUGCAGAAGCGGGCCACAAUCCUCACACUAAACCUAAGCAGAGCGACUGGCUGCAAAAAGGAAAGACUUAAAAAAUAGGAUCCAGAGACCUUCCUCUUCCUCAUGAGUUUUCCAAAUCACACUUGAUUGAAACAAAAACGUUAGCACCAUCUGAGACUCAGGACAGUGAUAUUUAUGAGCGGGGAGGGUAAAGGAAGCUCCAUGCUAUAAGUUCCGCACCUCGCUUGAAGUAGGAAAAGGCCACGGCACGCAGGACUCACUGAGUGGCUACCAAAAGAAACCAACGCUGAGCUAUAGCAUGGCAAGCUAAUACUACAUUUUGGAAAAGCACGCAUAUUGAAAUUUGCGUCAUUUGUGCUAUUAUUUGUGCUAUUAUAAAGACCUGACGCCUGGUGGAACCGUGCUUACAAUGUGUGGGUACUUAAACGCGUGUUCUGAAAAACUCCUCUGCUGCUUCUUCCUCUGAUUUCACAUUCGGUAAACCUGCAAGUGCACACAUUUCAUCCCCUUGCAAGACUGUUGUCAGUGCUCAGUAAGUCUACAUUUUACAUAGGAUGAGGUGAUUACAAAGAUGGCACCAUGGAUAAACGACACUACCUGUGUUAGCAGUUGUGACUUUUCCUUCU